Cryptotermes secundus is the source of this 104-nucleotide small nuclear RNA. The record is from RefSeq and is a predicted model, not a curated record. Lineage: Eukaryota; Metazoa; Arthropoda; Insecta; Blattodea; Kalotermitidae.
AUGAUUUUAUGCUGAUACGUACUUAUAUUGGAAUGAUACAGAGAAGAUUAGCAUGGCACCUGCGCAAGGAUGACAUGCAAAAUCAUGAAGUGUUCCACAUUUUG